Molecule: ribosomal RNA, 224 nt
Filed under: uncultured bacterium
Lineage: Bacteria
Description: partial 16S ribosomal RNA
Rfam family: Bacterial small subunit ribosomal RNA
Source: RNAcentral
UGGCGUACGGGUGAGUAACACGUGGAUCAUCUACCUUUUAGUGGGGAAUACCCCCGGGAAACUGGGGAUAAUACCGCAUAAUCUCGUAAGAGGAAAGCAGCAAUGCGCUGAAAGAGGAGUCCGCGGCUGAUUAGCUAGUUGGUGAGGUAAUGGCUCACCGAGGCGAAGAUCGGUAGCCGGCCUGAGAGGGCACACGGCCACACUGGCACUGAAACACGGGCCAG